This 128-nucleotide non-coding RNA is filed under the name Kitasatospora setae. RNAcentral describes it as "SAM-I sequence". It matches the Rfam family "SAM riboswitch aptamer (S box leader)". Rfam says of the family: The SAM riboswitch is found upstream of a number of genes which code for proteins involved in methionine or cysteine biosynthesis in Gram-positive bacteria. The SAM riboswitch acts at the level of transcription termination control. The predicted structure consists of a complex stem-loop region followed by a single stem loop terminator region. RNAcentral also lists the same sequence under 1 other name. Lineage: Bacteria; Bacillati; Actinomycetota; Actinomycetes; Kitasatosporales; Streptomycetaceae. The record is from RNAcentral.
AGCUCAUCCAGAGGGACUGAGGGAACGGCCCGUUGAAGUCCCGGCAACCCUCCCGCACGGCCAGCAGGCCCGGCGGGACAGGUGCCAAUUCCGUCCCGGACGCGACCGCGCUCCGGGGAAGAUGAGGA